UCAUUUCGCUCUUACUCACCUUCGUCCCUCUCACUCUCAUUUCCCAUUUCCCUCUCACUCNCGUUCGAAGUCUUUUUCGUGUAAGCCUUAUUUCUCUCUGAGUCAAGUUCUUCACUACUCAUCCUCAAUCCGUAAAUUCUCGUUCCAUCGUUCAUCAUUUGUGGUGAUGAAGCCAUCAAACGGGAGUUCUACCGUCAUUGUGAAGCAUGGGGUAAGAAUAUAAGCAAUCCAUAUUAAACAUAGUACAUGUUUGAAGGGGAGGAGGAAAUCGUGGAGAGAGGCACAACAAAUCGCAACCUGGUUGGGGUUUAGGGUUCGAUUCGGUGCUUGCAAUCCCUAAAUCCUCUCUUUCGCAGACCAAGUCAUCGAAGUGAUUUAAGCGAAAAUAACAAGAAACAUGGUCGGAGGCUUCUGGAAGGUUCCUCGCCGCCGCUUACGCCGAUUUGGAUGCGCCCAACCUCCACUAGGAGAAGAUGGCUCUGUGUCCCGUUCCUUGCCUUGACGGAGCUACCAUUCAGAUUCGCAAUCUCCUCUUCGUCUUUGCCGGUUACGGCACCAUCGAUUAUGUGCAUUCUCACGUUGAUGUGUAGAAUUUUAAUGAUAAUACUUGGGGAGGGAGAUUCGACAUGCCGAAGCAGAUGGCGCAUUCACAUUUGGGAAUGGUGACCGAUGGUAGAUACAUUGUCGUUGUGGUUAAUUACAGUUUUUUGAUGAAUAUAGCUCUAAGCUGUUGGAAUCUUCCAAUUAUAUUACAAGGCGUCAAGCUAUUAUAUGUCAUCUAUUGCUACUUUUAUUCUUGUUCGAUAAUUGAAUUUGUUCAUGUAUAUUUGUUGAGUGAUUUUCAUAUCAGUGAUGCACAAUACAAGAGUCAAUUUAUUAUCCAACAUUCUGAUUUCCUAUUAAAUUGUGUUAUCUUGUUUUUCAUAUUCUAAUUUACAUUAAAGCUAACAACUUGUUUGGUCUAUUUUUCUCUUUAAAAAUUGUGUUAUCUUGUUUGUCAGAUUCUAGUUUACAUUAAAGCUAACAGCUUGUUUAGUCAUAUGUUACUUCUUGGUUGAAUUUUCAGAGUUUUUAUGGUGACAUGAUUGUAUGUUUAUCAUUUAAUCUUAUCUCUACAUUGAUUUCAGAGGCUCGGUGAAACAUUGNAUUUCAAAAUUAAGUGUNNNGCUGCANGAAAAGANGGGAACUUGCGUGCUAUGCUUUCCACCUUACAAUAUGUAUAUACUUUCUACACACACCUUGGAAAAAUCUCUGAAUUUCUCUGUUCCUUAUCUAUAUGAACAUAUGUAAGUUUGGUAGUUUAUGCUUUCCUGUUUUGCUUAAGGCAUGGAUUCAAACCAUAACUACUCUGUUUAUAUCUUUUUUAGAAAUCAUAUAUCUAAUAAAGGUACCAAAACAAAGCUAAAUAGAUUGAACUAAUCAAAAUAAUUGAUCAAAAGGAAAAUCUAUGAUGNAGUUAUUUGGUUUUGCUCUCCCUCUAAAUGUUUCUCCAUCAUUUCUGAAACUGAUGUUUAAUUCUGAACCAAAACAAUUAAAGUAGCUGUCGUAAGACCCAAAAUAUAUAUAAUAAUAUUUUCAAAAUUCAGUAUAAUAAACUAAUUGGGGAAAUUCUAUUAAUAUUAUAAAAGUUAAUUNAUGAAUAAUUCUACGUGAGUUCGUUAGAACUUCUUACCAAAAAGAGCUAAUAGGUUCAACUUCAUUAAAAUACUUUUUUUAUUAAAGAUUUAAUAAGAAUUAAAACUACCAAUUGGUUAUGUACCUCAAUUUAUUAAAAUAUGAAAUGAUUUGGGGUUCUUGGGUUCAACUUUGAAACCGUGCAAAUAUUGAAUUAUUUACUUUGUAACAUUAGCUAAUCUAUCCUCGUUGACAGUAAGUGUCACAUUUUGCUUUUGUGUUUUCUUCUCAUGNAUGCCCCCUGUAUUUUGCUUCUCUAUUUUUUCACUUUUAAUGAUUGAUUAUAUGAUUCACAUGUAAUCUCUGAAAGUGAUGUUGUUCCAUCUGGAUAUGGUGAUGCUAUUGUAAAUGAGAGCAUUUAUGUUUAUUUAGAAUUACAAGGAACUAAUUCUGCAGANGCAGAACAAGGGAAGAUCAANAAGAUAGAAGAGNUGAGGAAGUAUGUUUUAUAUUCUAUUNUUUUUUAAACUGCAUUUUAACACUUGAGUUAUGAAUGAAAAGGGGUAAAAGGUGACCAGAGUAUAUGAUGAAGGAAAUUAUUAGAAGGGAUUUCAUAAUGAAUAACGCUUGAACAAUAUACACAUGAAUUUAUUUUGUUGAAAACUUAGCUCUUUUUUUUCCCUUUUUCUUAACGGUUUUCAAUUAAAAGACUGGUGUUUCUUUCUAUGCAGGCAAAUAGAAAGACUAGAGAAGAUUAUGAAUGCUCCAGGUUAUGAAGAGAAGGUUUUUCCAAAUGUUCGAGCAAAGAACCAGGAAAAGCUAGAUUCCCUAAAGGAGCGUUUAUUGCUUGAGGAAACGGUCUGAAUCUCUAGCUUCUAAGUAUGAACUCGAUUGCUAUAUUAUACAAAUUUUGGUUAGCUUGUGCUACUGGGUUUUUUUUUAAUCUUUUCAAUUGAAAUUAACAUGUACUAUAUUGAUUAUCAAUGCUGCUAUUUUUCUCGUUUAAUUUGGUUAUAUAUAUUUGAUUCAUUAAUUCAAACAUGUUAACCUAGUUACUUAAAUUCAUUAUGUUCAUUUUUUCUAUGAACAAUGCCCUACAUCUAAGAUAGCGAUCAUUACUUGAAGGAGGUGNCACUUGGUGAUAUUAAAUGUUUGGAAUGAAUUGUUUAUUGAGGGAAAGAAGAUACAUGCAUGUAUCUUUACAUUUUUGUAUCUCUCUGAUCUCCACAACUUGAACAUUUGACAUUUGAUUUUUGAAGGUUGAGAUGUUCUACCUUGUACUUUUCUGUAACUAUCACAUUGAAUAUUUGAUUUAUUCAACAUGCAUGCUGUCAUGAAUCUAUNUAGCAGGUGUUGNNGUGUUUGUUUUAAUUUAUAAUAACAAUAAUGUCUGAUCANCUAUUCUACAUUUGACAUAGCAUGCUUAUGCCCUUGCUAGAGUGUGUUUACAUGAAAAUAUACUUAAGCCUCUGCUAAUUAUUUCAUUAAUCAUUGAAUAUACUAAUGCCCUUGCUAGAGUGUGUUUAUAAUAACGAUAUGUUUUUAUUUCCACCUUCUAUAACCUUUUAUACCAUAGUUCUUGGUAUAAGUACAUUCAUGUAGUCUGUGUACAUAUUGUAUUUAUCAUCUUCCUUCAUUUUUUAGACCGUUGAGAUAUUUUCUUUUGU
Vigna radiata var. radiata (mung bean) is the source of this 3281-nucleotide long non-coding RNA. RefSeq lists it as uncharacterized. The transcript is spliced from 3 exons. NCBI's taxonomy places the organism in Eukaryota, Viridiplantae, Streptophyta, Magnoliopsida, Fabales, Fabaceae. The record is from RefSeq and is a predicted model, not a curated record.